AUAUAAUAAUAGCUGUAAUAAUAAAAUAUAAUAUACCUGUCCUGCAGGUCACACGUCUCACAGGUUUUCUCUGGAUCUGGACUCUCAGGAUUUGGACAGGUACUGACCGCAGACACACAUUCUGUGCAUUUUAACAUCAUUAAUUAGAGGAAUGCUGUGUGUAACAGUGUUUGUCUGAUCCUGCAGCUCCUGUGAGAGCCAGAAGAGCUCAUUCGGUAAGAACCGACUCACUGAAUCACAGCUGGAGCAGCUCAGAUUCACAGAUUCUGGAUUCGUUACAGAUUCACUCGCCAGGAAGCAGCAGCAUCACGAAUGGCCUCCUGCUAAAGGAGAAACCGACGGCAGCUUCACCAACCACAGCAAACCUGCGCAGGGAUUGGCGGAUCAGAACUGGUAUGUUGGUGCGGUUAGUCGUGUGGACGCUGAACACGCUCUUCACCUGGUCAACCGGGUAUAACACACCUUCAUUUCACUCCAGCAUCAUCACAUUUGUUAACAGUUCAGAGACACAAGAACGUACAGAAAUCACACUCAGAAAACAAACAUGUGGACUGUGCGUGCUCUGAACUGAAGGAUUGGGGUGGUUCAGAACCACAACCGGCUGGUUCGGACCGGGAAGCUUGAUGCGCUGAUCCGCUUUCAGAGGAGUUAACCUCAGUUUUUGAUCUUCGGUUGAGAAUCGAGGAAGGCCCAUUCCAACCGACGAUGACCUGCGUUUCUUGGCUUUUCUCUUUUCUUUCUUGUGUUUUUUACGUGGUGGAGAGUCUUGGUGCUUCUCUUCUCUUUCACAAAGGU
This 795-nucleotide long non-coding RNA is filed under the name Sinocyclocheilus grahami. RNAcentral's name for it is "lncRNA (ENSSGRG00000021526.1)". Lineage: Eukaryota; Metazoa; Chordata; Actinopteri; Cypriniformes; Cyprinidae. The record is from RNAcentral.